CCUACGGGAGGCAGCAGUGGGGAAUAUUGGACAAUGGGGGGAACCCUGAUCCAGCCAUGCCGCGUGUGUGAAGAAGGCCCUCGGGUUGUAAAGCACUUUCAGUGAGGAAGAACGCCUGGUGGUUAAUACCCAUCAGGAAAGACAUCACUCACAGAAGAAGCACCGGCUAACUCCGUGCCAGCAGCCGCGGUAAUACGGAGGGUGCGAGCGUUAAUCGGAAUUACUGGGCGUAAAGCGCGCGUAGGUGGCUUGAUAAGCCGGUUGUGAAAGCCCCGGGCUCAACCUGGGAACGGCAUCCGGAACUGGCAAGCUAGAGUGCAGGAGAGGAAGGUAGAAUUCCCGGUGUAGAGGUGAAAUGCGUAGAGAUCGGGAGGAAUACCAGUGGCGAAGGCGGCCUUCUGGACUGACACUGACACUGAGGUGCGAAAGCGUGGGUAGCAAACAGGAUUAGAUACCCGAGUAGUC
RNAcentral lists this ribosomal RNA (465 nucleotides) under Vreelandella stevensii. RNAcentral's name for it is "partial 16S ribosomal RNA". It matches the Rfam family "Bacterial small subunit ribosomal RNA", at positions 338 to 795 of the family's 1533-position model. Lineage: Bacteria; Pseudomonadati; Pseudomonadota; Gammaproteobacteria; Oceanospirillales; Halomonadaceae. The record is from RNAcentral.